UCAUGGCUCAGGACGAACGCUGGCGGCGUGCUUAACACAUGCAAGUCGAACGGGCAUAAUUGAAAGCUUGCUUUGAUUAUGUUAGUGGCGGACGGGUGAGUAACGCGUGAGCAACUUGCCUUGGACAGUGGAAUAACACAGGGAAACUUGUGCUAAUACCGCAUGAAGUGCGGAGAGGGCAUCCUUUCUGUACCAAAGGAAGCAAUUCCGGUCUGAGAUGGGCUCGCGUCCGAUUAGAUAGUUGGUGAGGUAACGGCCCACCAAGUCAACGAUCGGUAGCCGGACUGAGAGGUUGGCCGGCCACAUUGGGACUGAGACACGGCCCAGACUCCUACGGGAGGCAGCAGUGGGGAAUAUUAGGCAAGUGGGGGAACCCUGACCUAGCAACGCCGCGUGAAGGAUGAAGGUUUUCGGAUUGUAAACUUCUUUGGCAGGGGACGAUAAUGACGGUACCCUGAGAACAAGCCACGGCUAACUACGUGCCAGCAGCCGC
This 493-nucleotide ribosomal RNA is filed under the name uncultured bacterium. RNAcentral describes it as "bacterial SSU rRNA". It matches the Rfam family "Bacterial small subunit ribosomal RNA", at positions 17 to 518 of the family's 1533-position model. The record is from RNAcentral.